GAAUGACAUGAUGAUUAAUUGUGUCCCUAUUGGUUUGAUUGCCUUGAUGAUGGCACUUAUGUAUUAGCUCUAUCUGAUCAUUC
Cajanus cajan (pigeon pea) is the source of this 83-nucleotide non-coding RNA. The record is from Rfam. NCBI's taxonomy places the organism in Eukaryota, Viridiplantae, Streptophyta, Magnoliopsida, Fabales, Fabaceae.